RNAcentral lists this ribosomal RNA (448 nucleotides) under uncultured bacterium. Its description in RNAcentral is "bacterial SSU rRNA". It matches the Rfam family "Bacterial small subunit ribosomal RNA", at positions 339 to 797 of the family's 1533-position model. The record is from RNAcentral.
AUACGGGAGGCAGCAGUGGGGAAUCUUGCGCAAUGGGCGAAAGCCUGACGCAGCGACGCCGCGUGGGGGAUGAAGGCCCUCGGGUUGUAAACCCCUUUCGGCAGGGACGAAGCGGUUUCGUGACGGUACCUGCAGAAGAAGCCUCGGCUAACUACGUGCCAGCAGCCGCGGUAAGACGUAGGAGGCGAGCGUUGUCCGGAUUCAUUGGGCGUAAAGAGCACGCAGGCGGUUUGGCAAGUCGGAUGUGAAAACCCGGAGCUCAACUCCGGGCCUGCAUCCGAAACUGCCCGACUAGAGGUAGGUAGGGGAGAUCGGAAUUCCUGGUGUAGCGGUGAAAUGCGCAGAUAUCAGGAGGAACACCGGUGGCGAAGGCGGAUCUCUGGGCCUUACCUGACGCUCAGGUGCGAAAGCUAGGGGAGCGAACAGGAUUAGAAACCCUAGUAGUCCA